This 69-nucleotide transfer RNA is filed under the name Aenigmachanna gollum. RNAcentral describes it as "tRNA-Ala". It matches the Rfam family "tRNA". Rfam says of the family: Transfer RNA (tRNA) molecules are approximately 80 nucleotides in length. Their secondary structure includes four short double-helical elements and three loops (D, anti-codon, and T loops). The record is from RNAcentral. Lineage: Eukaryota; Metazoa; Chordata; Actinopteri; Anabantiformes; Aenigmachannidae.
AAAGCUUUAGCUUAAUUAAAGUGUCUGUUUUGCAUACAGGAGAUGUGGGUUAAUGUCCUGCAAGUUUUA